Molecule: ribosomal RNA, 440 nt
Filed under: uncultured bacterium
Lineage: Bacteria
Description: partial 16S ribosomal RNA
Rfam family: Bacterial small subunit ribosomal RNA
Source: RNAcentral
CCUACGGGUGGCAGCAGUAGGGAAUAUUGCUCAAUGGGGGAAAUCCUGAAGCAGCAACGCCGCGUGGAGGAUGAAGGUUUUCGGAUUGUAAACUCCUUUUGUUAGAGAAGAUACUUACGGUAUCUAACGAAUAAGCACCUGCUAAAUCCGUUCCAGUAGCCGCCGGAAUACGGAGGGCGCAAGCGUUACUCGGAAUCACUGGGCGUAAAGGGCGCGUAGGCGGGAUAGCAAGUCAGAUGUGAAAUCCUAUGGCUUAACCAUAGAACUGCAUUUGAAACUGUUAUUCUAGAGUAUGGGAGAGGUAGGUGGAAUUCUUGGUGUAGGGGUAAAAUCCGUAGAGAUCAAGAGGAAUACUCAUUGCGAAGGCGACCUGCUAGAACAUAACUGACGCUGAUGCGCGAAAGCGUGGGGAGCAAACAGGAUUAGAUACCCGUGUAGUC